This is a long non-coding RNA of Onychostoma macrolepis, 2515 nucleotides long. RefSeq lists it as uncharacterized. The record is from RefSeq and is a predicted model, not a curated record. The transcript has 3 exons. NCBI's taxonomy places the organism in Eukaryota, Metazoa, Chordata, Actinopteri, Cypriniformes, Cyprinidae.
GAAGCGGGAGACGGGAAUCACCUCAAUCGUUUCAGCAAAUCAAGGAUGUGGAUGCGGAGCGAAAAUGUGCAGGUACAUGCAGAUUUUCUAAACAUGUCUUUGUUAAUAUGUGUUUAAGCAUAGGAAACUUUGUUUUUACAGUUUAAAUGACCUUUAAAGGGCAUAUUUCAGGUUAGAGACCCCAGUGAAUCGAUGUAUAGAAAAAUAAUCUAGGAACUAGAUUUUCUUUAAAAUAAACUUUAAAAUACGCUAUUAAGGCUUCUGGAGUCGUUUUUGUGAGAGAAUUUUACUUCCGCAUCUCAAAACCGGAAGUGACGCAUCAAAAGGGAGAGCGGACCAUUUCAACCAUAGGAAAGCAAUGGAUCGCAACGACAGUUUGGAUGCUGAGGAAAUUUUAAAUGUUUAUUUACACUUGUAUGACGGAUAUAGAUAAAAUUAUGAGCCUGCUGUGCGGCCAAGAGAGCAGGGACAGGUCAGGAUUAGACAGAACAACGGUCAGAGGAGACAGAUUGAGUGGAUGUGUGAGGAGAACAGGGCAUGUGUCUUGCAUCUCUGACGGAUCCGUGAGCAUCAUGUCUCCCGCCGGCGGCCGAACACAGGUGGACCAGGACCCGAUGAAGCUGCUGUGUGCACCGAGUCUCACUAGGCUCUUGCUUCGGUAUCCCAUGCGGAACUCAUAUCGCCGGGAUGAUAAUCUUCCGGUGUAAAGUGAUCGUUAAGCUACACACCACCGCGUUUCUCGAAGCAGAUGCAUCAGUGAAGUCCCGUCUCUUCAGCUGCACAGGGGCGAGGCGUAACAGUUAAUCACGUGGACUGCGGAAGAAUACUACGAUUAAUGAUGUGAAGCAGGAGGCAGAAAAGGCUCCGAGUGCUGUACUGGGACCAGAGACGAGUGGAAAGAGAUUAGAGAACAGCACGAGAAAGACCGUCUCCAGGAGUGUUAUCAGUUUGUGUUGUUUUCUUGUUUGUUUCUAAAUUGUGUAGUUUUUGAGACAGAAUAUGUGACCCUGGACCACAAAACCAGUCUUAAGUCGCUGGGGUAUAUUUGUAGCAAUAGCCAAAAAUACAUUGUAUGGGUCAAAAUGAUAGAUCUUUCUUUUAUGCCAAAAAUCAUUAGUAUAUUAAGUAAAGGUCAUGUUCCAUGAAGAUAUUUUAAAUUUCCUACCGUAAAUAUAUCAAAACUUCAUUUUUGAUAAGUAAUAUGCAUUGCUAAGAACUUCAUUUUGACAACUUUAAAGGCAAUUUUCUCAAUAUUUAGAUUUUUUUUUUUUUUUGCACCCUCAGAUUCCAGAUUUUCAAAUAGUUGUAUCUCAGCCAAAUAUUGUCCGAUCCUAACAAACCAUACAUCAAUGGAAAGAUUAUUUACUUAUUUAUUCAGCUUUCAGGUGAUGUAUAAAUCGCAAUUUCGAACAAUUUACCCUUAUAUGGUUUUGUGGUCCAGGGUCACAUACAUUUUAUUAUUAUACUGUAAGUUCAGGUGAGUUUGUUGUUUUUGUGUUUCUUCAUUGUGUCAGUGUCAAAUUUAGAAGAGCACUGAUGUUUCUUAAAGGGAUAGUUCACCCAAAUGUGCAUAUUCUGUCAUCAUUUACUCUCCCUCAUUUACUUGUUCCAAACCCAUAAGACAUUCAUUCAUCUCUGGAACACAAAUGAAGAUAUUUUUAGAGGUUUCUGGCCCUCCAUUAAAAGUCAAAUCCCAAAACUGACACUUUUAAAUGUUCUUAAAAAGAUCAUACAAAAAAUCCAUUUGAAUUGAGCUGUUUAAUCUAAGUCUUCUGAAGAGACAGUCACUUUAAAUGAACAGAUAUAAUUUAUGCUUUUGUGCACAUAUAAACACUGAUCAGCGGACAAUGACAUUUUAAUAGACGGAAAGUCAAGCCUGCUUGCUUGAAGCGUGAGAACCAAUGAAGUUUGUUCUCAUGCAAGUACCGUUGAACUUCUUUAUAUAUUCACUGAUCAAUGUUUAUAUGUAAAUAAAAGCUGAAUAUAAAUCUGUUUACCAUGUAAUGUGAUCAUGUCUCUUCACAAGACUUGUAUUAAACCCCUCGAUUCAUAUGGAUUUAUUUUACAAUCUCUUUAUGAAUGUUUUGAAGCAUCAGAGUUUUGGGGAAGUAAACUUUCAAUGGAGCAACAGAAAUCGCUCAGAUAAAAAAAAAAAAAAGAUCUUCAUUUGUGUUCUGAAAAUUAAUUAAUUUCUUAUGUGUUUGGAGUGACAUGAUGAAAGAAUUUUCAUUUUUGGGUGAAUUAAGCUUUUAACUGUUAACUGUCAAUUUUUAUGUUAUGUAAGAUUAGUUACAUAAGACCAGUUGUUGAGAUGGUAUGACCCUGUUGGCUUAUCAAAAUGUUAAUGUUAAUGUUAAAGUAUAACAAAUGUGUCAGAAAAUGAUAAUAAAGUAUUAUAUUGAACCUGUACAACAUUUUAAUAUAUGAUUUUUCAAAUUGCACACUUUAAUGUUUUGCGAGUUUGUAAAUUAAUAAAGAGUGGAAUGUUCAUGCAGAAAACUGAUAUUUACCUAAC